RNAcentral lists this ribosomal RNA (436 nucleotides) under Chromobacterium sp. A62-15. RNAcentral describes it as "bacterial SSU rRNA". It matches the Rfam family "Bacterial small subunit ribosomal RNA", at positions 65 to 498 of the family's 1533-position model. The record is from RNAcentral. Lineage: Bacteria; Pseudomonadati; Pseudomonadota; Betaproteobacteria; Neisseriales; Chromobacteriaceae.
AACGGUAACAGGGUGCUUGCACCGCUGACGAGUGGCGAACGGGUGAGUAACGCAUCGGAAUGUACCGUGUAAUGGGGGAUAGCUCGGCGAAAGCCGGAUUAAUACCGCAUACGCCCUGAGGGGGAAAGUGGGGGACCGUAAGGCCUCACGUUAUACGAGCAGCCGAUGUCUGAUUAGCUAGUUGGUGAGGUAAGAGCUCACCAAGGCGACGAUCAGUAGCGGGUCUGAGAGGAUGAUCCGCCACACUGGGACUGAGACACGGCCCAGACUCCUACGGGAGGCAGCAGUGGGGAAUUUUGGACAAUGGGCGCAAGCCUGAUCCAGCCAUGCCGCGUGUCUGAAGAAGGCCUUCGGGUUGUAAAGGACUUUUGUUCGGGAGGAAAUCCCGCUGGUUAAUACCUGGCGGGGAUGACAGUACGGAAGAAUAACACCGGCU